RNAcentral lists this ribosomal RNA (859 nucleotides) under Pseudophaeotrichum sudanense. RNAcentral describes it as "LSU rRNA". It matches the Rfam family "Eukaryotic large subunit ribosomal RNA", at positions 69 to 945 of the family's 3401-position model. Lineage: Eukaryota; Fungi; Ascomycota; Dothideomycetes; Pleosporales; Testudinaceae. The record is from RNAcentral.
CAGGGAUUGCCCUAGUAACGGCGAGUGAAGCGGCAACAGCUCAAAUUUGAAAUCUGGCCCUCUUGGGGGUCCGAGUUGUAAUUUGUAGAGGGUGCUUUGGCGUUGGCCCCGACCUAAGUUCCUUGGAACAGGACGUCACAGAGGGUGAGAACCCCGUACGUGGUCGUCGGUCUUCGCCGUGUAAAGCCCCUUCGACGAGUCGAGUUGUUUGGGAAUGCAGCUCUAAAUGGGAGGUAAAUUUCUUCUAAAGCUAAAUAUUGGCCAGAGACCGAUAGCGCACAAGUAGAGUGAUCGAAAGAUGAAAAGCACUUUGGAAAGAGAGUCAAAAAGCACGUGAAAUUGUUGAAAGGGAAGCGCUUGCAGCCAGACUUGCCUGUAGUUGCUCAUCCGGGCUUUUGCCCGGUGCACUCUUCUGCGGGCAGGCCAGCAUCAGUCCAGGCGGUCGGAUAAAGGCCUUGGGAAUGUGGCUCUCUUCGGGGAGUGUUAUAGCCCAGGGUGCAAUGCGGCCAGCUUGGACUGAGGUCCGCGCAUCUGCUAGGAUGCUGGCGUAAUGGCUGUAAGCGGCCCGUCUUGAAACACGGACCAAGGAGUCUAACAUCUAUGCGAGUGUUUGGGUGUCAAGCCCGAGCGCGUAAUGAAAGUGAACGGAGGUGGGAACCCCUCGGGGUGCACCAUCGACCGAUCCUGAUGUCUUCGGAUGGAUUUGAGUAAGAGCAUAGCUGUUGGGACCCGAAAGAUGGUGAACUAUGCCUGAAUAGGGUGAAGCCAGAGGAAACUCUGGUGGAGGCUCGCAGCGGUUCUGACGUGCAAAUCGAUCGUCAAAUUUGGGCAUAGGGGCGAAAGACUAAUCGAACUAUCU